GAAUAGUUUGAAUUAUAAUGAUGAGGGAAAGCCUUAUAUAACUUCUUAGGGUCUAGGCAAUGUUCACACUUUCCAUUUUACUGCUCCAUAAGGAUAAAGCGUGGCAGUGACUUCAUUUAAGCUUGUCCCCCAAAGAUAAACCUUCACUUUAAUGGCAAGGCAUUCAGAAUAGCAGAGCAGACCCCUUUAUUCUAGCAACUGAAAACUAUAAAAAUUUCCACAUUUAUCCUUAAGGCUAUUAUUAGUUAUACCCCCUACCUCCAGUCACAUCUCAAAGAAACUUUGCAGAGGGGUGGGUAAAGAACUCAUGCAAUACCAUAUUCUGGCCAAGAUUUGUGGGCUGCUUGUCGCCAUGCCAAACAUAUCUGUAUUGUAAAGGUUCACACUGCUCCACAAUCUGCAGUCAUAGAUUCACUCCAGGUAGAGCGUACAGCAGCGGCAGGAAAUGAAAUUGGCCUGGCAGCAGUCUGGUAUGGUGGUCUGAAUAAUUUUAGGGUCUACAGGAGCUUAGGGGUGGUGUGGUCCAGUGUCCGAAUGAGCUCAGGGGUGGUCUGGUCCUGGGUCUAAAUGAGCUCAGAUGUGGCCUGGUCAGGGGUCUAAAUACGCUCAGAGGUGGCCUGGUCCAGGGUCUAAAUACGCUCAGAGGUGGCCUGGUCCAGGGGUCUGGUUUGUUUUUCCAUUAACAAAUAAUGUUACAUCUGUUCUACAAAUUUUAUGAAACCUCAACAAGACAACAUUUUUAUUGCUGGUGUUCAGCUUGGACAUUCAGCUGACUGCAAGAACCAGGGAAGUGGACCUUUACUAAACCUGAGCACUCUUGGUCUAG
Long non-coding RNA from Bufo bufo (common toad), 826 nucleotides. RefSeq lists it as uncharacterized. The transcript has 2 exons. The record is from RefSeq and is a predicted model, not a curated record. NCBI's taxonomy places the organism in Eukaryota, Metazoa, Chordata, Amphibia, Anura, Bufonidae.